AUUUGAGAAAUGUCAGAAGAAUGAUAAAUGUGAUUCAAUAGGCAUAAGGACUAAAGGGAAAAUUGUUUGAAAGAAAUGAGAAGUUCUAAAACAUGCAAGUUAGGCUAAGAGGGAUCCAUUAGCAGAGUGCAGCUCUGCCAAGAUCUGAGCCAGGAGGAAGAAUCUUCAUGCAAAUAGAUCAGGGAAAGUAGCUCUCUGACAGGGAGUGAAGUCAAAGCAGUGAAGAUUGCAGGCAGGAGAGUGAAAGAAAACAAGAUUGGUGCUGGACAAGGACAAUGAAGAAACAUACGGAGCAAACCUAAACUCAACCUGGAGCCUAGAGCCAAGGCUCACCAAUGACAUCCUGAAGCAGAUCUACCCCAAAACACUUGCAGGCCUAUGAACCAAGAAAACUAACGCUUGUGGUAAGGACACACAGUGUUUCUGAGCAAAAGCAUUGCAUUAUGAAGCCUGACUUUGGGGGGUUUUUAAAGGAAUACUAACCACGUGGAAGUGUGGUAGAGAGAAAGGCCAGAAGCAGAGACACCUGUUUGGAGUCCAGGACAACAGUGAAAGCAGGUGGAAAGGAAACACCAGACAAGACCUCCACUCUUACUACAGGGACUUGGAGAAUACUAAAGACUUCCCUUCUUCAUGGAGAAAAGAAGGAUAUCUGUGGAAGUAGCACAAGAAGAAUACCUAUGCCAUACGCCCACCCCUCUAUCUGGAUCUACAUCUCCAGCCUUGGACUUCCCUCCCCUAACUAGAGGACAGAUUAAUUCUUUCCAAGUGCUUAGAAGUUUGCGUUUAGAUUUCAUCAAAAAUUUUCCACUGAUUGAUUUACAAAUCAAAUAUUUAACACAAAGAACCUCUGGUCUCAUUAGAAUAAAUAUAAAUAAAUAUAAAAUAGUUGUGUGGAGAAUUAUUUUGUUCAGACCA
This 918-nucleotide long non-coding RNA is filed under the name Homo sapiens (human). RNAcentral describes it as "HSALNT0367160". The record is from RNAcentral. Lineage: Eukaryota; Metazoa; Chordata; Mammalia; Primates; Hominidae.